This 468-nucleotide ribosomal RNA is filed under the name uncultured bacterium. RNAcentral describes it as "partial 16S ribosomal RNA". It matches the Rfam family "Bacterial small subunit ribosomal RNA", at positions 28 to 507 of the family's 1533-position model. The record is from RNAcentral.
GACGAACGCUGGCGGCGUGCUUAACACAUGCAAGUCGAACGGAAAGGCCCUGCUUUUGUGGGGUGCUCGAGUGGCGAACGGGUGAGUAACACGUGAGUAACCUGCCCUUGACUUUGGGAUAACUUCAGGAAACUGGGGCUAAUACCUGAUAGGAGCUCCUGCUGCAUGGUGGGGGUUGGAUAGUUUCGGCGGUUGGGGAUGGACUCGCGGCUUAUCAGCUUGUUGGUGGGGUAGUGGCUUACCAAGGCUUUGACGGGUAGCCGGCCUGAGAGGGUGACCGGCCACAUUGGGACUGAGAUACGGCCCAGACUCCUACGGGAGGCAGCAGUGGGGAAUAUUGCACAAUGGGCGGAAGCCUGAUGCAGCAACGCCGCGUGCGGGAUGACGGCCUUCGGGUUGUAAACCGCUUUCGCCUGUGACGAAGCGUGAGUGACGGUAAUGGGUAAAGAAGCACCGGCUAACUACGUG